GAGGAAGUAAAAGUCGUAACAAGGUUUCCGUAGGUGAACCUGCGGAAGGAUCAUUAAUCGAAUGAACAUGUUUCCCAGCAUGAAACUUCAAAACCCCACCUGUGUAUCUUACCUGUUGCUUCCGUGCCGCACACGCCUGCGAAGGGGUGCCUCCUGGUCCGGAAUACCGCGUACUGCGGGCCCUGGGGAGUCGGCACGCUUGGUUAACCGUAAAAACUCUUGCCUUUGAAUGUCUUCUGUCUGAACUGUAUUACGUAAAAAGUUAAAACUUUCAACAACGGAUCUCUUGGUUCUCGCAUCGAUGAAGAACGCAGCGAAAUGCGAUAAGUAGUGUGAAUUGCAGAAUUCCGUGAAUCAUCGAAUCUUUGAACGCACAUUGCGCCUCCUGGUAUUCCGGGAGGCAUGCCUGUUCGAGCGUCACUAGAAUCAACUCACGCACUUUUGCGUGGUCGUGGAGGAAGAGUCCGUCUUGCUGCGGUCUCCCCCCCGAAAAUCAACGGCGGAAAGUCACUGGCGCCUGGCGUAGUAGUAUUGUUCGCCGUUCAACCAGUGUCGUUCCUGCCGGCAAACCCCCCCACAGUUCUCUUGAUUGACCUCGGAUCAGGUAGGGAUACCCGCUGAACUUAAGCAUAUCA
Molecule: ribosomal RNA, 635 nt
Filed under: uncultured Geopora
Lineage: Eukaryota; Fungi; Ascomycota; Pezizomycetes; Pezizales; Pyronemataceae
Description: eukaryotic LSU rRNA
Rfam family: 5.8S ribosomal RNA (bases 267-420)
Source: RNAcentral